Molecule: ribosomal RNA, 393 nt
Filed under: Hoylesella nanceiensis
Lineage: Bacteria; Pseudomonadati; Bacteroidota; Bacteroidia; Bacteroidales; Prevotellaceae
Description: bacterial SSU rRNA
Rfam family: Bacterial small subunit ribosomal RNA
Source: RNAcentral
AUCUGACAGCCAGUAGCGUGCAGGAUGACGGCCCUAUGGGUUGUAAACUGCUUUUAUGUGAGAAUAAAGUUAGGUAUGUAUACUUAUUUGCAUGUAUCACAUGAAUAAGGACCGGCUAAUUCCGUGCCAGCAGCCGCGGUAAUACGGAAGGUCCAGGCGUUAUCCGGAUUUAUUGGGUUUAAAGGGUGCGUAGGCCGUUUGAUAAGCGUGCUGUGAAAUAUAGUGGCUCAACCUCUAUCGUGCAGCGCGAACUGUUGAACUUGAGUGCGUAGUAGGUAGGCGGAAUUCGUGGUGUAGCGGUGAAAUGCUUAGAUAUCACGAAGAACUCCGAUUGCGAAGGCAGCUUACCGUAACGUUACUGACGCUUAAGCACGAAGGUGCGGGUAUCGAACA